AGUAGGGAAUCUUCCGCAAUGGACGAAAGUCUGACGGAGCAACGCCGCGUGAGUGAUGAAGGUUUCGGAUCGUAAACUCUGUUGUUAGGGAAGAACAAGUACCGUUCGAAUAGGGCGGCACCUUGACGGUACCUAACCAGAAAGCCACGGCUAACUACGUGCCAGCAGCCGCGGUAAUACGUAGGUGGCAAGCGUUGUCCGGAAUUAUUGGGCGUAAAGCGCGCG
RNAcentral lists this ribosomal RNA (225 nucleotides) under Bacillus licheniformis. RNAcentral describes it as "partial 16S ribosomal RNA". It matches the Rfam family "Bacterial small subunit ribosomal RNA", at positions 353 to 571 of the family's 1533-position model. The record is from RNAcentral. Lineage: Bacteria; Bacillati; Bacillota; Bacilli; Caryophanales; Bacillaceae.